Molecule: long non-coding RNA, 1034 nt
Organism: Lactuca sativa (garden lettuce)
Lineage: Eukaryota; Viridiplantae; Streptophyta; Magnoliopsida; Asterales; Asteraceae
Source: RefSeq, a predicted model, not a curated record
CCCCAAUCACUCACAAUGACCUCCACCUCUAGCAACAUCCACUAUCAGGUACCCACCAUUCACAACCUUAAUUCAAAGCCCCUCUCAUUCUCUCUCUAAAUCCCUCUUCCUCCCUUAUCCUCUCUGAAAAACUCUAACUCCCAUUACGAGUAGAGCCAACACCAUGGCUACAGAUUUCAGUUAUACUGGUUAACAUCUCUGCCUUCACUACUACCGGUUACCGCCACCGGUACCAGCUCUACUAUUAAAACCAUCGUCGCCCUCAACAACCCUAGAUCUAAACCACUGUACACGGAUAACCGGUCACAUCCAUUAUGCCGCCUCCUACUUCUCUUACCGGCGACUACAUUUAUGCCAUAAUCGAACCCAACACUGCAGCCAUCACCGUCCUUUCCAGCCAACAUCUCAGGUAACCGACGUUCACCUUGAAAUUGCUGCUACCAUUGUCGUAGCCCUGCACUACCACUAGCCGGUAUUUCAUAUUUAGAGUAAGUUAAAACAUUGAGAAUAUUGUUCUCCGUUAGCUUUGGGAUUUUUCUAAUGUUAUUCAAGUUCACCGAGACUUAAAGCAAAGGGGAACAUCAAGAUUACAUCAAGUUCAUACGCAAGUCACAGGGAACGUAGAUACUACAUGGUCAUGGUCUGUUUGGUUAACAAACAGAGAGAUAAGGGACAACAUCCAAUCCCUAGCAUUACCAUCGCUCCCGUAUCUCCUUCAUCUCGUGCUCGCUUUCAGCAAAUCACAUGUAAUAUUUUUUCCUCUGAGCUCUCCCUUUCUAAGCCCUUUCCUAUUUCAAUCCUUUGAUUUUUCUAUCCCUAAAUGUUUUUUAUAAUCUGGGAUGAAGAUGAGCAGGAUAUUUGGAUGAAGACUUAGUAGUUUUUGGUAAUCUAUUUAUGAUGAAGAUAAAAAGUCGAUACAUAUGUUGUAUAGUGUAUACCCUCAACAUAUCUUGGAAAUUACCCUCUUCAUUGUUGAUAUAUUUCUUCAUUUGUUAACUAUUUAUGUGAUUUUAAUCUAUUUUGGCAUAAAAUAA